This 251-nucleotide ribosomal RNA is filed under the name uncultured prokaryote. RNAcentral describes it as "partial 16S rRNA". It matches the Rfam family "Bacterial small subunit ribosomal RNA", at positions 525 to 775 of the family's 1533-position model. The record is from RNAcentral.
ACGGAGGAUCCGAGCGUUAUCCGGAUUUACUGGGUUUAAAGGGUGCGUAGGCGGGCUUAUAAGUCAGUGGUGAAAUCCAACAGCUUAACUGUUGAACUGCCAUUGAUACUGUUAGUCUUGAGUAUAGUUGAGGUGGGCGGAAUUUGUCAUGUAGCGGUGAAAUACUUAGAUAUGACAAAGAACACCGAUAGCGAAGGCAGUUCACCAAGCUAUAACUGACGUUGAGGCGCGAAAGCGUGUUGUUCUAACAG